AGGGAUAUAACUCAGUGGAAGAGUGUCAUUUUGACGUGAUGAAAGUCGUCAGUUCGAUUCUGAUUGUCCCUA
Molecule: transfer RNA, 72 nt
Filed under: Cylindrocystis brebissonii
Lineage: Eukaryota; Viridiplantae; Streptophyta; Zygnematophyceae; Zygnematales; Mesotaeniaceae
Description: tRNA-Val
Rfam family: tRNA
About the family: Transfer RNA (tRNA) molecules are approximately 80 nucleotides in length. Their secondary structure includes four short double-helical elements and three loops (D, anti-codon, and T loops). Further hydrogen bonds mediate the characteristic L-shaped molecular structure. tRNAs have two regions of fundamental functional importance: the anti-codon, which is responsible for specific mRNA codon recognition, and the 3' end, to which the tRNAs corresponding amino acid is attached (by aminoacyl-tRNA synthetases). tRNAs cope with the degeneracy of the genetic code in two manners: having more than one tRNA (with a specific anti-codon) for a particular amino acid; and 'wobble' base-pairing, i.e. permitting non-standard base-pairing at the 3rd anti-codon position.
Source: RNAcentral